AUACGGAGGAUCCAAGCGUUAUCCGGAAUCAUUGGGUUUUAAGGGUCCGUAGGCGGGUUUGUAAGUCAGUGGUGAAAGUUUUCGGCUCAACCGGAAAAUUGCCAUUGAUACUGCAAGUCUUGAAUCAUUAUGAAGUGGUUAGAAUGUGUAGUGUAGCGGUGAAAUGCAUAGAUAUUACACAGAAUACCGAUUGCGAAGGCAGAUCACUAAUAAUGUAUUGACGCUAAGGGACGAAAGCGUGGGUAGCGAACAGGAUUAGAAACCCGGGUAGUCC
RNAcentral lists this ribosomal RNA (274 nucleotides) under uncultured bacterium. RNAcentral describes it as "partial 16S ribosomal RNA". It matches the Rfam family "Bacterial small subunit ribosomal RNA", at positions 523 to 796 of the family's 1533-position model. The record is from RNAcentral.